This is an RNA transcript of Vicia villosa (hairy vetch), 1072 nucleotides long. RefSeq lists it as uncharacterized. The record is from RefSeq and is a predicted model, not a curated record. The transcript has 5 exons. NCBI's taxonomy places the organism in Eukaryota, Viridiplantae, Streptophyta, Magnoliopsida, Fabales, Fabaceae.
AAUAUAUCAUAUAAGAAAUCCACAUCAGCUUUGGUAGUUUGGGAAUGGUAACAGGAUUUAAAUAUUGAACGUUCUGUGAUGUAACAGGGUUUCUGUUGAUGCUCAGGUUCUUAUAUACCAAAUUUGAUGCAAUUUUGGCACUGCAAUACUGUUUGUCAGUUUCUUUAUUAGGUCCCCGAUGACCUAGACUUGGGAGGGAUGGAUUUCUUGCAAUUUGGCGGGAUGGGUGGCGACGAUGCAGUGGGUGAUGAUUUUGAUGACAGUGAUGAUGAGUGGCAAGAAGUGUCGAAGCCUGAAAAAGAAGAGGAUGAUGAUAAGGAGGGACGUUCUGCUGUUGGAAAAGAAGCAAACAAGAGCACCGUUGAAGAAGCUACUCCGAGCACAUAAUGGCUUUGCAGUUCAUGAUCGUACACUUGGAAAAAUGCUUUUGGGUCUGUUGUUAACAGUUUUAAUAGCAUUUCCAAUGGACAGAUUUCAUGGUUAUUUCCAAGAGAAAUUGAAAAUAGGAGACCCCCUUGAAUGUGGUGAAGUUCGGAAUUAACUCGGUGAACAUAUGGAUGUAUGAAGUCAUGGUGCUUUAGCUUGAAUGUAUUAACACUCAAAUCUUGAUGAUAGACAUGAUUUGUUUGUAAGAGAAGAAACUCCUAUCCAUUUGUCCAAAGACAGCAUAGGACCAAGCUAUAGACCCAAGCUGACCCCUACUUAAAGUAGGUAAAUUUGAGGCCUCAUUUCGAUCAACAGAUUCGACACUGAUUUGUUUGUGAUUAUUGGAUAAUUUUUCACCUGUAAAACCACUUGAUUGGCUAUGAUCUUCGAAGAGUUUGUCUAACGAAUCAAAUACAGUGUCAGCUGGCUCAUAUAGUGAUGCAAAAGCCCAUAAAAGCUGUGACAGUUCUUGUCCUUUGAAGGUAUGAAUUAUUUUAGAAGCCCUUUUCGACAAUUCAGUGAAAAGAUCGGGAGGUUUCUCACCGCAGGUGUGGCUUAGGAAGUGAGUCUUCUUUAUGUCAUUGAAGCUGAAGUAACUGCUCUGAAGGAAGCAUUCUAAAAUGCCAUCUCUCUAUAUUGAUUGUCA